GGGCUUGAGGGUGAUCUGGCUGUGACAUCUGUCACCCUAUAGAUUGUUACCAUGAAUUUAUCUGAUCAGGCUGGCUAGGCAGGUGUUCCUAACUUCCCUCACUGCUUUAUGUACGUCCUUCCCAAUAGGUCAAGAGGACAACUAUAGCUGUUAGAGAAGGGCCAUUUCCUUGGUCAAGGGUAUAUGGAUAGCUUUGCUUUUCUGCUUGAACUUCCAAACAAGCUAUCAAAAUUGCUCAUUAGGUCCUCAAAUUUGGAGUCUUGCCUCUUGCCUGUUGAGAAGCUGGGAUUAUAGGUGUUUGCCACAAUGCCUGCUGCAAUAUAUU
This 325-nucleotide small nuclear RNA is filed under the name Fukomys damarensis (Damara mole-rat). RNAcentral describes it as "7SK RNA". It matches the Rfam family "7SK RNA". From Rfam's summary of the family: 7SK was discovered as an abundant small nuclear RNA in the mid-70s but a possible function has only recently been suggested. Two independent studies have found that 7SK RNA binds the CDK9/cyclin T complex (known as elongation factor P-TEFb). The record is from Rfam by way of RNAcentral. Lineage: Eukaryota; Metazoa; Chordata; Mammalia; Rodentia; Bathyergidae.